UGCAGGUCAGAUGGUCUGUUUGUCUCUGUGUGAUGUCACAGCCAUCCAAGGCUUGAACCUGGUGCAGGUCAGAUGGUCUGUUUGUCUCUGUGAUGUCACAGCCAUCCAAGGCUUGAACCUGGUGCAGGUCAGAUGGUCUGUUUGUCUCUGUGUGAUGUCACAGCCAGACGAGGCUUGAACCUGGUGCAGGUCAGAUGGUCUGUUUGUCUCUGUGUGAUGUCACAGCCAUCCAAGGCUUGAACCUGGUGCAGGUCAGAUGGUCUGUUUGUCUCUGUGUGAUGUCACAGCCAGACGAGGCUUGAACCUGGUGCAGGUCAGAUGGUCUGUUUGUCUCUGUGUGAUGUCACAGCCAUCCAAGGCUUGAACCUGGUGCAGG
Long non-coding RNA from Oncorhynchus tshawytscha (Chinook salmon), 376 nucleotides. Lineage: Eukaryota; Metazoa; Chordata; Actinopteri; Salmoniformes; Salmonidae. The record is from Ensembl.